AAGUCGUAACAAGGUCUCCGUAGGUGAACCUGCGGAGGGAUCAUUACACAACAAAAUAUGAAGGUCUGGCUUCGCGGCCGGCUGAAAUAUUUUUUUCACCCAUGUCUUUUGCGCACUUGUUGUUUCCUGGGCGGGUUCGCCCGCCACCAGGACCAAACCAUAAACCUUUUUUUUUAUGCAGUUGCAAUCAGCGUCAGUAAAAACAAUGUAAUUAAUUACAACUUUCAACAACGGAUCUCUUGGUUCUG
Molecule: unclassified non-coding RNA, 248 nt
Filed under: Bipolaris sp.
Lineage: Eukaryota; Fungi; Ascomycota; Dothideomycetes; Pleosporales; Pleosporaceae
Also listed under: 2 other names
Description: partial internal transcribed spacer region
Rfam family: Eukaryotic small subunit ribosomal RNA (bases 1-46)
Source: RNAcentral